This 289-nucleotide ribosomal RNA is filed under the name uncultured bacterium. RNAcentral's name for it is "partial 16S ribosomal RNA". It matches the Rfam family "Bacterial small subunit ribosomal RNA", at positions 28 to 322 of the family's 1533-position model. The record is from RNAcentral.
GACGAACGCUGGCGGCGUGCUUAACACAUGCAAGUCGAGCGGUAAGGCCCUCGGGUACGACGAGCGGCGAACGGGUGAGUAACACGUGGGUGACCUGCCUCUAGCUCUGGGAUAAGCCUGGGAAACUGGGUCUAAUACCGGAUAUGACUCCACGGCGCAUGUUGUGGGGUGGAAAGCCUUGUGUGGCUAGAGAUGGGCCCGCGGCCUAUCAGCUUGUUGGUGGGGUGAGGCCUACCAAGGCGACGACGGGUAGCCGGCCUGAGAGGGCGACCGGCCACACUGGGACUGA